This 482-nucleotide ribosomal RNA is filed under the name uncultured bacterium. RNAcentral's name for it is "partial 16S ribosomal RNA". It matches the Rfam family "Bacterial small subunit ribosomal RNA", at positions 30 to 507 of the family's 1533-position model. The record is from RNAcentral.
AUUGAACGCUGGCGGCAUGCUUUACACAUGCAAGUCGAACGGCAGCGCGGGGCAACCUGGCGGCGAGUGGCGCACGGGUGAGUAAUAUAUCGGAACGUACCCAGAAGUGGGGGAUAACGUAGCGAAAGUUACGCUAAUACCGCAUACGAUCUACGGAUGAAAGUGGGGGAUCGCAAGACCUCAUGCUUUUGGAGCGGCCGAUAUCUGAUUAGCUAGUUGGUAGGGUAAAGGCCUACCAAGGCGACGAUCAGUAGCUGGUCUGAGAGGACGACCAGCCACACUGGGACUGAGACACGGCCCAGACUCCUACGGGAGGCAGCAGUGGGGAAUUUUGGACAAUGGGCGCAAGCCUGAUCCAGCAAUGCCGCGUGAGUGAAGAAGGCCUUCGGGUUGUAAAGCUCUUUUGUCAGGGAAGAAACGGCCGAGGCUAAUACCUUUGGCUAAUGACGGUACCUGAAGAAUAAGCACCGGCUAACUACGUG